This 253-nucleotide ribosomal RNA is filed under the name uncultured bacterium. Its description in RNAcentral is "partial 16S ribosomal RNA". It matches the Rfam family "Bacterial small subunit ribosomal RNA", at positions 524 to 776 of the family's 1533-position model. The record is from RNAcentral.
UACGUAGGGUGCAAGCGUUAAUCGGAAUUACUGGGCGUAAAGCGUGCGCAGGCGGUUUUGUAAGUCUGACGUGAAAUCCCCGGGCUCAACCUGGGAAUUGCGUUGGAGACUGCAAGGCUAGAAUCUGGCAGAGGGGGGUAGAAUUCCACGUGUAGCAGUGAAAUGCGUAGAGAUGUGGAGGAACACCGGUGGCGAAGGCAGCCCCCUGGGUCAAGAUUGACGCUCAUGCACGAAAGCGUGGGGAGCAAACAGG